GAAAACUCAGUUGAAGAACUAGCAUCCUAAAUCAUAAACAAUGCAAAAGGUUAGUACUAUUUCAUCAUAAAUCAGGAACACUACUCAUUUUAUUCAAACAACUCGGUUCAAACACAGACAACUCAGUUCAAUCAACUCAAUCAACUCAGUGCAAUCAACUUAGUUCAAACACACUAAGAUAGCAAAGUAGCAAACAACUCAGUUGAACAGGCCCUAAACUAGUACAUCUUGUGUUCCUCGCAC
RNAcentral lists this long non-coding RNA (243 nucleotides) under Setaria viridis. RNAcentral describes it as "long non-coding RNA (SVIR_LNC005899)". The record is from RNAcentral. Lineage: Eukaryota; Viridiplantae; Streptophyta; Magnoliopsida; Poales; Poaceae.